RNAcentral lists this ribosomal RNA (398 nucleotides) under uncultured bacterium. Its description in RNAcentral is "bacterial SSU rRNA". It matches the Rfam family "Bacterial small subunit ribosomal RNA", at positions 28 to 420 of the family's 1533-position model. The record is from RNAcentral.
GACGAACGCUGGCGGCGUGCUUAACACAUGCAAGUCGAGCGGUAAGGCCCUUUCGGGGGUACGACGAGCGGCGAACGGGCGAGUAACACGUGGGUGACCUGCCCUCAGCUCUGGGAUAAGCCUGGGAAACCGGGUCUAAUACCGGAUAUGACUCCAUGACGCAUGUUGUGGGGUGGAAGGCCUUGUGCGGCUGAGGAUGGGCCCGCGGCCUAUCAGCUUGUUGGUGGGGNGAUGGCCUACCAAGGCGACGACGGGUAGGCCGGCCUGAGAGGGCGGACCGGCCACACUGGGACGUGAGACACGGCCCACGACUCCUACGGGAGGCGAGCAGUGGGGAAGUCUUGCGCAAUGGGCGAAAGCCUGACGCAGCGACGCCGCGUGUGGGAUGACGGCCUCGG